Molecule: ribosomal RNA, 491 nt
Filed under: uncultured bacterium
Lineage: Bacteria
Description: bacterial SSU rRNA
Rfam family: Bacterial small subunit ribosomal RNA
Source: RNAcentral
AAAGGAAUAGACGGGGGCCCGCACAAGCAGUGGAGUAUGUGGUUUAAUUCGACGAUACGCGAAGAACCUUACCAGGUCUUGACAUCCUACUAACGAAGCAGAGAUGCAUUAGGUGCCCUUCGGGGAAAGUAGUGACAGGUGGUGCAUGGUUGUCGUCAGCUCGUGUCGUGAGAUGUUGGGUUAAGUCCCGCAACGAGCGCAACCCUUAUGGUUAGUUGCUACGCAAGAGCACUCUAACCAGACUGCCGUUGACAAAACGGAGGAAGGUGGGGAUGACGUCAAAUCAUCAUGCCCCUUAUGUCCUGGGCUACACACGUACUACAAUGGCCACUAACAACGGGAUGCAAUGGCGCGAGCCGGAGCCAAACCCCAAAAGCGGUCUCAGUUCAGAUUGCAGGCUGAAAUUCGCCUGCAUGAAGUCGGAAUUGCUAGUAAUCGCGGAUCAGCAUGCCGCGGUGAAUACGUUCCCGGGCCUUGUACACACCGCCCGU